GGGUGCGAUCAUACCACCACUACAGCACCGAAUUCC
Molecule: ribosomal RNA, 36 nt
Filed under: Prospero obtusifolium
Lineage: Eukaryota; Viridiplantae; Streptophyta; Magnoliopsida; Asparagales; Asparagaceae
Source: RNAcentral